Molecule: ribosomal RNA, 451 nt
Filed under: uncultured bacterium
Lineage: Bacteria
Description: bacterial SSU rRNA
Rfam family: Bacterial small subunit ribosomal RNA
Source: RNAcentral
UACGGAAGGCAGCAGUGGGGAAUAUUGCACAAUGGGCGCAAGCCUGAUGCAGCCAUGCCGCGUGUAUGAAAAAGGCCUUCGGGUUGUAAAGUACUUUCAGUCGUGAGGAAGGUGUUAAGGUUAAUAACCUUAGCAAUUGACGUUAGCGACAGAAGAAGCACCGGCUAACUCCGUGCCAGCAGCCGCGGUAAUACGGAGGGUGCGAGCGUUAAUCGGAAUUACUGGGCGUAAAGGGCACGCAGGCGGUUAAUUAAGUUGGAUGUGAAAUCCCCGGGCUUAACCUGGGAAUGGCAUUCAAGACUGGUUAGCUAGAGUCUUGUAGAGGGGGUAGAAUUCCGAUGUGUAGCGGUGAAAUGCGUAGAGAUGUGGAGGAAUACCGGUGGCGAAGGCGGCCCCUGGACAAAGACUGACGCUCAUGUGCGAAAGCGUGGGGAGCAAACAGGGAUUAGAU